This is a small nucleolar RNA of Rattus norvegicus (Norway rat), 79 nucleotides long. Ensembl annotates it as small nucleolar RNA SNORA17. The record is from Ensembl. NCBI's taxonomy places the organism in Eukaryota, Metazoa, Chordata, Mammalia, Rodentia, Muridae.
UCUGCCACUAGAAGCAUUGCAGGCAUGGCUGCUGUGUCAUAUGUGCAUCUGUGGGUGGCAGAGAGGAGUUCUGAACAUC